GAGAGUUAAAUAGUACGUGAAAUUGUUGAAAGGGAAACGAUUGAAGUCAGUCAUGCUAGUGAAAAUUCAGUUUGACGGGAUUUUGCUUUGGGUGUUAGGAUAGAUCCUUAUCUUGAAGUCGAAUCUUGUCGGAUGCAUUUUUUCUUUGGCAGGUCAGCGUCGAUUUCGGGGGUUGUAAAAUACUUGGGGGAAAGUAGCUCUGCUUCGGGAGAGUGUUAUAGACCUUGGGAGAUGCAGCCCGUGGGAUCGAGGAUUGCAGCAAAUGCCUUUGGCUUGUCUUCUGAUCUUUGGUUGUUACCUCGUUUAUGACAACAUUCUUGUCAUCGAUGAGUUCUAAUGGUUAUGGGUUAGAAUGAUCAAAAAUUUGCUAAGGAUGCUGACGUAAUGGCUUUAAACGA
This 398-nucleotide ribosomal RNA is filed under the name uncultured Diversispora. Its description in RNAcentral is "partial 28S ribosomal RNA". The record is from RNAcentral. Lineage: Eukaryota; Fungi; Glomeromycota; Glomeromycetes; Diversisporales; Diversisporaceae.